GAGCUUUGUGAUAUCAUCAACAUGAAUCCUGGACAAGCAAAGGAUGCUCUUAAGAUUAUCAAGAAACGCUUGGGGAGUAAAAAUCCAAAAAUACAGCUCCUUACACUAUUCGUUCUUGAGACUCUGAGCAAAAAUUGUGGAGAGAAUGUAUUUCAGCAAAUUGUGGAGCGUGAGAUUUUACGAGACAUGGUCAAAAUUGUGAAGAAGAAGCCUGAUUUAAAUGUGAGGGAGAAGAUUUUGAUUUUGAUAGAUUCAUGGCAAGAAGCUUUGGGAGGGCCAGGGGGACGAUUUCCCCAGUAUUACGCUGCAUAUAAUGAGCUGAAGGCUGCAGGUGUAGAGUUUCCACCUCGAGAGGAAAACAGUGUACCUUUAUUUACACCACCACAAACCCAUCCAAUAGUCCACACGCCUUCCGCUUAUGAGGAGGCUGCAGUUGAGGCCUCUCUUGAGUCUGAUCCCUCUGGACUCAGUGUCGCGGAGAUUCAAAGUGCCGAGGGGCUAUCAGAUGUCCUCACGGAGAUGCUUGGUGCCUUGGAUCCAAAGAACCCUCAGUCCGUGAAGGAGGAGGUGAUAGUCGAUCUUGUUGAACAGUGUCGGUCUUACCAAAAGCGUGUGAUGAUUCUUGUGAACAACACAGUAGACGAGGAUCUGCUGUGUAAAGGAUUGGCACUCAAUGACAAUCUGCAGCGAGUUCUUCGUAGACAUGACGAUAUUGCCAAAGGAACCUCAACAAUUACUGUACCACCCAGAGAAACUCCUGUUGCACCCCUUAUGAAUGUGAAUCAUGAGGAUGAUGAGUCAGAAGAUGAUUUCUCUCACUUAUCACGGAGAACUUCAAGAGAUCCAUCACAGGGACAGGGGCGGAAGACUAUUGAUGUGAAGAGUGAGCCAAUGCGAAUUACUCCAACUCUUCCUCCUCCACCUUCAUCAAGGAGACCAGUUUUUACGGAUGGGAAAAUGGUUGAUUAUCUCAGCGGUGACAGGUUUGAAUCUGAAAGAUCAAUGGGAACAGAAGGAUCAUCACCUAUUGCUGCUUCAACUAAUUCAAACAAUGCGAGUUUCAUCCCAUGGUCAAGUCCCAAGCCAUCUUCAUCUGCACCCCCUCCAGAUGAUUUGCUAAAUCCAACUGCUGAUGAGAACUUCUUGAACCCCACUGCAUCUAUGUUUACUGGAAAAAACAACCAGAAUGAAUCCAAUUCAAAAGCCAAAUCUGCUGAUAACUUGCCUCCAGCACCUUGGGAUGCUCCUCCUCCUACCGCAAUCCCUCCACCACCAGCCAGAUAUGAUCAGAGACAGCAGUACUUUGAGAAACAUGUUUCUGGUGGCUCCCCUCCCGCAAGAACCGGAUCGAGUUCCUAUGACAGCAUAGUUGGACAAACAAAGAAUCUCUCUAUUAAUUCUUCUUCACCAUCCAAACCAGAGAAACCUGAGGACGCACUCUUCAAAGAUCUUGUUGAUUUUGCAAAAGCCAAGUCUUCCUCAUCUUCAAACCAAUCCAAUAGAUCAUUUUGAGUGAUUUCAAUGAAUAUGAAUAAUGUGUGGUGGGGUGUAUAUCUACUUUUUCUUCUUGUAGCAAUAAAUAUUAGAGAGGACUGAGUUUUAUGGAUUACUGGUGCUGCUUCUUCUGCUUUAUUUUCUGUUCGGCUUUCAGCCUUUAGGUGAGUGAUAGUGUAGCUGACAUGACAUUUAUAUCUUGGAUCAUAUAAGAUGGUUAAUAUUUCUGUUUUUU
RNAcentral lists this unclassified non-coding RNA (1729 nucleotides) under Hevea brasiliensis (rubber tree). The record is from RNAcentral. Lineage: Eukaryota; Viridiplantae; Streptophyta; Magnoliopsida; Malpighiales; Euphorbiaceae.